UACCUCCCAAGAUCAUAUGUAGAGAAUGACUAUUAUUCUGCCAGGUUCCAGAAGGAAAGCAAGCCUGGCAGAGGUACCUGUUCCAUCCCCAGCUUGUUCAGUAGCUGGUGAUUCAACAACACUCUGCAGUAAUA
This 134-nucleotide small nucleolar RNA is filed under the name Sus scrofa (pig). Lineage: Eukaryota; Metazoa; Chordata; Mammalia; Artiodactyla; Suidae. The record is from RNAcentral.